RNAcentral lists this ribosomal RNA (406 nucleotides) under uncultured bacterium. RNAcentral's name for it is "partial 16S ribosomal RNA". It matches the Rfam family "Bacterial small subunit ribosomal RNA", at positions 28 to 526 of the family's 1533-position model. The record is from RNAcentral.
GAUGAACGCUAGCUACAGGCUUAACACAUGCAAGUCGAGGGACCGGCGCACGGGUGAGUAACACGUAUCCAACCUGCCCUUUACUCGGGGAUAGCCUUUCGAAAGAAAGAUUAAUACCCGAUAUAAAGGAUGGGGAUGCGUUCCAUUAGGUUGUUUGUGAGGUAACGGCCCACCAAGCCUUCGAUGGAUAGUGGUUCUGCGAGGAAGGUCCCCCACAUUGGAACUGAGCCACGGUCCAAACUCCUACGGGAGGCAGCAGUGAUGAAUAUUGGUCAAUGGGCGUGAGCCUGAACCAGCCAAUGAGCGUGAAGGAUGAAGGGUUAUGGGUCGUAAACUUCUGUUAUAUAAGAAUAUGUAUUAUAUUAAUAAGGAUCGGCUAACUCCGUGCCAGCAGCCGCGGUAAUAC